GCUUAACUUAAGUACCCGCUGAAACUUAACUACCCUAAUUUGAAAUCUAUUCGCCCAGCGGGGUCCGAAUUGUAAUUUGCAAAGGAUGCUUGGGCGACCUUCCGAGUCCCUGGAACGGGACGCCACAGAGGGUGAGAGCCCCGUCUGGUCGGUCUCCGAGCCCGUGUACAGCUCCCUCGAAGAGUCGAGUAGUUUGGGAAUGCUGCUCUAAGCGGGAGGUAAACCCCUUCUAAAGCUAAAUAUCUGCCAGAGACCGAUAGCGCACAAGUANAGUGAUCGAAAGAUGAAAAUCACUUUGAAAAGAGAGUCAGACAGCACGUGAAAUUGUUGAAAGGGAAGCGCUUGCGGGCAGACCUGUGCCCGACGGCUCANCCGUCCCUCCCGGGCGGUGCACUCCGGGGUGGAGGCCAGCAUCGGCUUGCGGGGGGGAGAAAGGCGGCGGGAACGUGGCUCCUAUGAGUGUUAUAGCCCACCGUCACGCCCGCCUGCAGUCAGGAACGCGUCAAGGAUGCUGGCGUAAUGGGCGUCANCGACCCGUCUUGAAACACGGNCCAAGGAGUCGUCCUAAUAUGCGAGUGUUCGGGUCGAAAACCCUACGCUAAAUGAAAGUGAAAGGAGGUGAA
Molecule: ribosomal RNA, 623 nt
Filed under: Corollospora colossa
Lineage: Eukaryota; Fungi; Ascomycota; Sordariomycetes; Microascales; Halosphaeriaceae
Description: eukaryotic LSU rRNA
Rfam family: Eukaryotic large subunit ribosomal RNA
Source: RNAcentral